AGGGAAACCGAGUCUUAAUUGGGCGUUAAGUUGCAGGGUAUAGACCCGAAACCCGGUGAUCUAGCCAUGGGCAGGUUGAAGGUUGGGUAACACUAACUGGAGGACCGAACCGACUAAUGUUGAAAAAUUAGCGGAUGACCUGUGGCUGGGGGUGAAAGGCCAAUCAAACCGGGAGAUAGCUGGUUCUCCCCGAAAGCUAUUUAGGUAGCGCCUCGUGAAUUCAUCUCCGGGGGUAGAGCACUGUUUCGGCUAGGGGGCCAUCCCGGCUUACCAACCCGAUGCAAACUGCGAAUACCGGAGAAUGUUAUCACGGGAGACACACGGCGGGUGCUAACGUCCGUCGUGAAGAGGGAAACAACCCAGACCGCCAGCUAAGGUCCCAAAGUCAUGGUUAAGUGGGAAACGAUGUGGGAAGGCCCAGACAGCCAGGAUGUUGGCUUAGAAGCAGCCAUCAUUUAAAGAAAGCGUAAUAGCUCACUGGUCGAGUCGGCCUGCGCGGAAGAUGUAACGGGGCUAAACCAUGCACCGAAGCUGCGGCAGCGAACGUAUCACUUAAAGCGAUUCAGCGGGUUACGAUUGACGGAGCGAAGCGACGUCAAAGCGUAUACAAAGUCGAGUCGGUUUAAGGAUACGUUCGUUGGGUAGGGGAGCGUUCUGUAAGCCUGUGAAGGUGGCCUGUGAGGGUUGCUGGAGGUAUCAGAAGUGCGAAUGCUGACAUAAGUAACGAUAAAGCGGGUGAAAAGCCCGCUCGCCGGAAGACCAAGGGUUCCUGUCCAACGUUAAUCGGGGCAGGGUGAGUCGACCCCUAAGGCGAGGCCGAAAGGCGUAGUCGAUGGGAAACGGGUUAAUAUUCCCGUACUUGGUGUUACUGCGAAGGGGGGACGGAGAAGGCUAUGUUGGCCGGGCGACGGUUGUCCCGGUUUAAGCGUGUAGGUGUGUGUUCCAGGUAAAUCCGGUUCACUUUAACACUGAGGCGUGACGACGAGGCACUACGGUGCUGAAGCAACAAAUGCCCUGCUUCCAGGAAAAGCCUCUAAGCAUCAGGUAACAUCAAAUCGUACCCCAAACCGACACAGGUGGUCAGGUAGAGAAUACCAAGGCGCUUGAGAGAACUCGGGUGAAGGAACUAGGCAAAAUGGUGCCGUAACUUCGGGAGAAGGCACGCUGACACGUAGGUGAAGUGAUUUACUCAUGGAGCUGAAGUCAGUCGAAGAUACCAGCUGGCUGCAACUGUUUAUUAAAAACACAGCACUGUGCAAACACGAAAGUGGACGUAUACGGUGUGACGCCUGCCCGGUGCCGGAAGGUUAAUUGAUGGGGUCAGCGCAAGCGAAGCUCCUGAUCGAAGCCCCGGUAAACGGCGGCCGUAACUAUAACGGUCCUAAGGUAGCGAAAUUCCUUGUCGGGUAAGUUCCGACCUGCACGAAUGGCGUAAUGAUGGCCAGGCUGUCUCCACCCGAGACUCAGUGAAAUUGAACUCGCUGUGAAGAUGCAGUGUACCCGCGGCAAGACGGAAAGACCCCGUGAACCUUUACUAUAGCUUGACACUGAACAUUGAGCCUUGAUGUGUAGGAUAGGUGGGAGGCUUUGAAGUGUGGACGCCAGUCUGCAUGGAGCCGACCUUGAAAUACCACCCUUUAAUGUUUGAUGUUCUAACGUGGACCCGUGAUCCGGGUUGCGGACAGUGUCUGGUGGGUAGUUUGACUGGGGCGGUCUCCUCCUAAAGAGUAACGGAGGAGCACGAAGGUUGGCUAAUCCUGGUCGGACAUCAGGAGGUUAGUGCAAUGGCAUAAGCCAGCUUGACUGCGAGCGUGACGGCGCGAGCAGGUGCGAAAGCAGGUCAUAGUGAUCCGGUGGUUCUGAAUGGAAGGGCCAUCGCUCAACGGAUAAAAGGUACUCCGGGGAUAACAGGCUGAUACCGCCCAAGAGUUCAUAUCGACGGCGGUGUUUGGCACCUCGAUGUCGGCUCAUCACAUCCUGGGGCUGAAGUAGGUCCCAAGGGUAUGGCUGUUCGCCAUUUAAAGUGGUACGCGAGCUGGGUUUAGAACGUCGUGAGACAGUUCGGUCCCUAUCUGCCGUGGGCGCUGGAGAACUGAGGGGGGCUGCUCCUAGUACGAGAGGACCGGAGUGGACGCAUCACUGGUGUUCGGGUUGUCAUGCCAAUGGCACUGCCCGGUAGCUAAAUGCGGAAGAGAUAAGUGCUGAAAGCAUCUAAGCACGAAACUUGCCCCGAGAUGAGUUCU
RNAcentral lists this ribosomal RNA (2243 nucleotides) under Salmonella enterica subsp. enterica serovar Sandiego. RNAcentral describes it as "bacterial LSU rRNA". It matches the Rfam family "Bacterial large subunit ribosomal RNA", at positions 670 to 2812 of the family's 2925-position model. The record is from RNAcentral. Lineage: Bacteria; Pseudomonadati; Pseudomonadota; Gammaproteobacteria; Enterobacterales; Enterobacteriaceae.